UGCCAGACUCCUACGGGAGGCAGCAGUGGGGAAUAUUGCACAAUGGGGGGAACCCUGAUGCAGCGACGCCGCGUGAGCGAUGAAGUAUUUCGGUAUGUAAAGCUCUAUCAGCAGGGAAGAAAAUGACGGUACCUGACUAAGAAGCCCCGGCUAACUACGUGCCAGCAGCCGCGGUAAUACGUAGGGGGCAAGCGUUAUCCGGAUUUACUGGGUGUAAAGGGAGCGUAGACGGCUGUGCAAGUCUGGAGUGAAAGGCAUGGGCUCAACCUGUGGACUGCUUUGGAAACUGUACGGCUGGAGUGCAGGAGAGGUAAGUGGAAUUCCUAGUGUAGCGGUGAAAUGCGUAGAUAUUAGGAAGAACACCAGUGGCGAAGGCGGCUUACUGGACUGUAACUGACGUUGAGGCUCGAAAGCGUGGGGAGCAAACAGGAUUAGAUACCCGUGUAC
Molecule: ribosomal RNA, 447 nt
Filed under: uncultured bacterium
Lineage: Bacteria
Description: bacterial SSU rRNA
Rfam family: Bacterial small subunit ribosomal RNA
Source: RNAcentral